This 1495-nucleotide ribosomal RNA is filed under the name uncultured organism. RNAcentral describes it as "SSU rRNA". It matches the Rfam family "Bacterial small subunit ribosomal RNA". The record is from RNAcentral.
AUGAACGCUGGCGGCGUGCCUAAUACAUGCAAGUCGAACGAGUUCUGAUUAUUGAAAGGUGCUUGCAUCUUGAUUUUAAUUUUGAACGAGUGGCGGACGGGUGAGUAACACGUGGGUAACCUGCCCUUAAGUGGGGGAUAACAUUUGGAAACAGAUGCUAAUACCGCAUAAAUCCAAGAACCGCAUGGUUCUUGGCUGAAAGAUGGCGUAAGCUAUCGCUUUUGGAUGGACCCGCGGCGUAUUAGCUAGUUGGUGAGGUAACGGCUCACCAAGGCAAUGAUACGUAGCCGAACUGAGAGGUUGAUCGGCCACAUUGGGACUGAGACACGGCCCAAACUCCUACGGGAGGCAGCAGUAGGGAAUCUUCCACAAUGGACGCAAGUCUGAUGGAGCAACGCCGCGUGAGUGAAGAAGGCUUUCGGGUCGUAAAACUCUGUUGUUGGAGAAGAAUGGUCGGCAGAGUAACUGUUGUCGGCGUGACGGUAUCCAACCAGAAAGCCACGGCUAACUACGUGCCAGCAGCCGCGGUAAUACGUAGGUGGCAAGCGUUAUCCGGAUUUAUUGGGCGUAAAGCGAGCGCAGGCGGUUUUUUAAGUCUGAUGUGAAAGCCCUCGGCUUAACCGAGGAAGUGCAUCGGAAACUGGGAAACUUGAGUGCAGAAGAGGACAGUGGAACUCCAUGUGUAGCGGUGAAAUGCGUAGAUAUAUGGAAGAACACCAGUGGCGAAGGCGGCUGUCUGGUCUGUAACUGACGCUGAGGCUCGAAAGCAUGGGUAGCGAACAGGAUUAGAUACCCUGGUAGUCCAUGCCGUAAACGAUGAAUGCUAGGUGUUGGAGGGUUUCCGCCCUUCAGUGCCGCAGCUAACGCAUUAAGCAUUCCGCCUGGGGAGUACGACCGCAAGGUUGAAACUCAAAGGAAUUGACGGGGGCCCGCACAAGCGGUGGAGCAUGUGGUUUAAUUCGAAGCAACGCGAAGAACCUUACCAGGUCUUGACAUCUUUUGAUCACCUGAGAGAUCAGGUUUCCCCUUCGGGGGCAAAAUGACAGGUGGUGCAUGGUUGUCGUCAGCUCGUGUCGUGAGAUGUUGGGUUAAGUCCCGCAACGAGCGCAACCCUUAUGACUAGUUGCCAGCAUUUAGUUGGGCACUCUAGUAAGACUGCCGGUGACAAACCGGAGGAAGGUGGGGAUGACGUCAAAUCAUCAUGCCCCUUAUGACCUGGGCUACACACGUGCUACAAUGGAUGGUACAACAAGUUGCGAGACCGCGAGGUCAAGCUAAUCUCUUAAAGCCAUUCUCAGUUCGGACUGUAGGCUGCAACUCGCCUACACGAAGUCGGAAUCGCUAGUAAUCGCGGAUCAGCACGCCGCGGUGAAUACGUUCCCGGGCCUUGUACACACCGCCCGUCACACCAUGAGAGUUUGUAACACCCGAAGCCGGUGGCGUAACCCUUUUAGGGAGCGAGCCGUCUAAGGUGGGACAAAUGAUUAGGGUGAAG